RNAcentral lists this ribosomal RNA (694 nucleotides) under uncultured bacterium. Its description in RNAcentral is "bacterial SSU rRNA". It matches the Rfam family "Bacterial small subunit ribosomal RNA", at positions 126 to 807 of the family's 1533-position model. The record is from RNAcentral.
CUGCCCAAAAGAGGGGGAUAACACUUGGAAACAGGUGCUAAUACCGCAUAACCAUAGUUACCGCAUGGUAACUAUGUAAAAGGUGGCUAUGCUACCGCUUUUGGAUGGGCCCGCGACGCAUUAGCUAGUUGGUGGGGUAAAGGCUUACCAAGGCAAUGAUGCGUAGCCGAACUGAGAGGUUGAUCGGCCACAUUGGGACUGAGACACGGCCCAAACUCCUACGGGAGGCAGCAGUAGGGAAUCUUCCACAAUGGGCGAAAGCCUGAUGGAGCAACGCCGCGUGGGUGAAGAAGGUCUUCGGAUCGUAAAACCCUGUUGUUAGAGAAGAAAGUGCGUGAGAGUAACUGUUCACGUUUCGACGGUAUCUAACCAGAAAGCCACGGCUAACUACGUGCCAGCAGCCGCGGUAAUACGUAGGUGGCAAGCGUUAUCCGGAUUUAUUGGGCGUAAAGAGAACGCAGGCGGUCUUUUAAGUCUGAUGUGAAAGCCUUCGGCUUAACCGGAGUAGUGCAUUGGAAACUGGGAGACUUGAGUGCAGAAGAGGAGAGUGGAACUCCAUGUGUAGCGGUGAAAUGCGUAGAUAUAUGGAAGAACACCAGUGGCGAAAGCGGCUCUCUGGUCUGUAACUGACGCUGAGGUUCGAAAGCGUGGGUAGCAAACAGGAUUAGAUACCCUGGUAGUCCACGCCGUAAAC